RNAcentral lists this ribosomal RNA (269 nucleotides) under uncultured archaeon. RNAcentral describes it as "partial 16S ribosomal RNA". It matches the Rfam family "Archaeal small subunit ribosomal RNA", at positions 477 to 747 of the family's 1478-position model. The record is from RNAcentral.
CAGCACCUCAAGUGGUCAGGAUGAUUAUUGGGCCUAAAGCAUCCGUAGCCGGCGCUGUAAGUUUUCGGUUAAAUCUGUACGCUCAACGUACAGGCUGCCGGGAAUACUGCAGCGCUAGGGAGUGGGAGAGGUAGACGGUACUCGGUAGGAAGGGGUAAAAUCCUUUGAUCUAUUGAUGACCACCUGUGGCGAAGGCGGUCUACCAGAACACGUCCGACGGUGAGGGAUGAAAGCUGGGGGAGCAAACCGAUUAGAUACCCGAGUAGUCC